UGUGUCUGGUUCUUGUUGUCGAACCUGCUU
This 30-nucleotide non-coding RNA is filed under the name Mus musculus (house mouse). Lineage: Eukaryota; Metazoa; Chordata; Mammalia; Rodentia; Muridae. The record is from RNAcentral.